UUCUUUUUUUCCUCUCAGAGAAGGAGACAACCAAGAGCUGUGGAUCUGGAGAAGCUGACACUGAUAGUGCCCAUCCCACACGUCCAGAAAGAAGUGAGGAAGCUUACAGCAUGGAUGGUACACAGCGGUGAUGUCUGCUGACACACAGUCAUGUGGGGCACAGUGAAGCUUGUGCCAGUGACAACCACAAGAAGAGGUGUGUGCUCGGAUGGUUUCAGAAGGCUGUCUGCACUCAGAGGAAGCCACACGUGCAGGAAGACUCCACAGGAACCCCACUGAGCUUAAACUACCUGGAGACCACAGGGCUGAGGGUAGAGCAGCAGUCACGCUCAGCAGGACACCUGAGGCCUCCUCCAGCCAGAAUGAUCCAUCACUCCCAGCCUCACAGAUACACACAGCUUUGCACUCACCAAAGCUGACUUAAUAAAUCCAUGGACCAUUUGGAGUGACAUGUUGGCAUGCUUGCUGGGCCUGAGCCCUGUUCCCUGAAGUCAGUGAGUGUAUUGCUGUGGGCAAGCCAGGGCUUGCCAGGGUUAGCUCAUAG
This is a long non-coding RNA of Pezoporus occidentalis (night parrot), 544 nucleotides long. RefSeq lists it as uncharacterized. The record is from RefSeq and is a predicted model, not a curated record. NCBI's taxonomy places the organism in Eukaryota, Metazoa, Chordata, Aves, Psittaciformes, Psittacidae. The transcript has 4 exons.